This 170-nucleotide small RNA is filed under the name bovine gut metagenome. RNAcentral describes it as "Clostridiales-1 RNA". It matches the Rfam family "Clostridiales-1 RNA". The record is from RNAcentral.
CUAGGGUUCAAAACUCAUGAGACGAUCAUGCUUGCAUGGAUCGGCUCAUGAGCUUGGAACCCGUACAAACAUGAGCAAGCAGCGAAAUGUUUGUGAAAACAAGCAUUUCAGCGGAUUGCGAAUGGUUGUAGGAUUGCGGGAGCAUCGAAGAUGCGGAGCAAUCCGUGUGC